RNAcentral lists this small RNA (671 nucleotides) under Pongo abelii (Sumatran orangutan). RNAcentral describes it as "transcribed unitary pseudogene". Lineage: Eukaryota; Metazoa; Chordata; Mammalia; Primates; Hominidae. The record is from RNAcentral.
AUGACGAUCAUCUACAGCUGCAUUGCUAAUGGCCCAGCGGUCCUAGCGGAGCUGACACGGACUGGAGGUUCUUCCCAGGAAGCAGUGGCAAAAGUGCUUAGAUUAGUGCUUCUGAACCAAAGACCAUAAUUCAAAUGGGAAGCUAUGUUUACCAUACUGUCUUUAUUGAUGGAAUCACUUAUGUAUGUGCUACAGACAAUGCUUUGGAUUCUGUGACACCAUCUGCAUUUCUUAAAAACGUUAGUGAUACUUUUACAAGAAAUCCUUUGAUGUCACAAGAACAUAUUUUCCUUCAAAUGCAUUUGCUGCAGAUUUUCAACAAGUGUUAGGAAAGUAUAUGGUAUGUAACCUCAAACUGUACUCCUAAGUAUUACCAAUGAAAUACAAUAAAAACCAAGGUGACCGCACCAUUUCCACAAUGAGCCACCAAGUGCCUGAUGUAAAAAAUGUUAUGACACAAAAUAUUGAUAAAAUUUUGGAAAAAGAAGAUUGAAUACCUUCCUUGAUAGAACAGAUGAUCUCUAAACAACUGCCAAAGGAUUCCAAAAAACAAGAAAGAUUCCUAAGAGGAUUUGGUGGAAAUACUUCAAAAAGAUCAUAAUUAUCACCGUUGCAAUCCCCCUUUCAAUUAUUAUCAUUCUUUUAAGUACAAAUGUAAUACCAACAUGACC